UACGAAGGGUGCAAGCGUUACUCGGAAUUACUGGGCGUAAAGCGUGCGUAGGCGGUUUGUUAAGUCCGUUGUGAAAGCCCUGGGCUCAACCUGGGAAUUGCAGUGGAUACUGGCGAGCUAGAGUGCGGUAGAGGAUGGUGGAAUUCCCGGUGUAGCGGUGAAAUGCGUAGAGAUCGGGAGGAACACCCGUGGCGAAGGCGGCCAUCUGGACCAGCACUGACGCUGAGGCACGAAAGCGUGGGGAGCGAAAGGG
RNAcentral lists this ribosomal RNA (253 nucleotides) under uncultured bacterium. RNAcentral's name for it is "partial 16S ribosomal RNA". It matches the Rfam family "Bacterial small subunit ribosomal RNA", at positions 524 to 776 of the family's 1533-position model. The record is from RNAcentral.